Molecule: unclassified non-coding RNA, 891 nt
Filed under: Hevea brasiliensis (rubber tree)
Lineage: Eukaryota; Viridiplantae; Streptophyta; Magnoliopsida; Malpighiales; Euphorbiaceae
Source: RNAcentral
GAGCAGCGACACCAUUGAUAACGUCAAGGCAAAAAUUCAGGACAAGGAGGGAAUCCCACCAGACCAGCAGAGGCUGAUCUUCGCUGGUAAGCAGCUAGAGGAUGGCCGCACCCUUGCCGACUACAAUAUUCAGAAGGAGUCCACUCUCCAUUUGGUGCUUCGCCUUCGUGGUGGCAUGCAGAUAUUCGUGAAGACCCUUACAGGUAAGACAAUCACCUUGGAGGUUGAAAGUUCUGAUACUAUUGACAACGUGAAGGCCAAGAUCCAGGACAAGGAGGGCAUCCCGCCAGACCAGCAGAGGUUGAUUUUUGCUGGAAAGCAGCUUGAGGAUGGGAGGACCCUUGCUGAUUACAAUAUCCAGAAGGAGUCUACUUUGCACCUUGUCCUUCGCCUUCGUGGUGGUUUCUGAGUUGCAUGGUUGUGUCUACUUUGUUAUUAAUAUCUACUAGUUAUGCCUUAAUGGCUUUAAAUAAGUUUUAAACCCUCCGAAACUUGUUAUUUUGGAAUGGUUGUAAGUACUUUACUAAAGCUGUUCUAAGUGGCCGCUAUAAGGUCAUUGGUACUUUAUUUUAGAGGCAAUAAAGCUGGCUUGACUGGCCUAUGUAAUAUUCUGGAUUUCUGAUUCAUGCUUUAUGUUCUUUGGGAUGUAGCAGAAUUCUGUUCUGUUUAUUUCUUACGGUGGCUUCUAUAGGAGUUGGUAACGUGGUUGUAUCUUACAAAAGGCAACUUUGUGGUUCACUGCGACUUUUAGGACCUCAGUGUGUUUGAAAAUGGUACAUUUCUAAGAGAGGUUCUUUGUUUCACUUUUGAAAUAGGUAGAAAUGCCAUAGCCAAACAAUUAGCCACUGCCUGUGGUUGAUAUGGGACCUGGCCCCAAUUUUCAACAUGCUC